GCUUUAUUAAAAAUGCCAAGGAGAGUCUUGGAGCGAUUAAUUUUUAAAUUAAUUGAAAACUAGUAUCUAUUCUUUCAGAGAUAACACUUCAAAAGUACACAAUAUUCAUCUUCCAACAAUACUUCAUCGGCCCUGAAAGAUAGCUUUGCAGCUUGUAUUAAAGGGAAAUUUAUGUGACUUAGAAAUAUCUGUAGUACAUUGUUUUUGCCAGUGGCGUUAUAAACAAUCUAAUAAUUUCGAGAGUUUACGGAAAUUGAGUGGGCGUUGAAUUUGACAGACAGCUUGUCAAUAGACAUGAUAAGCCUUCCUAUUAAAGGUGACAUACUAUUGGUGGAAAACUAGAACCUGUUUACCUCAUUUUAUCCGUUUUCUAGCCAAGUUAAUUAUAUUCUAAUUCAGAUGCUGCCAGACGGUCCAAGUUGAAAACUUACGACCCGAAAUUUUUAAAACCCGAAUAAAUUACAAACUUUAAAUCGUUGAUAUCAAAAUCAUGAGACCCUCUCAUCGGUCUUCCCAAACGUCUUAACAAUUUCUUAAAUUUGGAACCAAGUUUGAAAGGUAAGCGUUUUUAGUUAUACAGUAUAACUAAUGUUCCUAUGACAACCGAGCUUGAUAACAAGCUUUGCCAAAAUUUAGCGUUUUAUCGUCCUUACUUUGUAUUGGUUGUAAAAGAGUCAUACUCAGUUCGUACUAAAGUUUAUUUACAACUUUUCACUAUUACCAUAUACUUAUACAAUAAAUGACUCCUUUUUAACUUUCCCACGAUGGCCACGGUGAAAACUGAAAGGUAAUAACCUUUCAGACAUUAUAUAAACAUAACGAAGGAAAAUACUGAUGGGCGGGGAAAACCACAAUCGCCCAAACUUCCGUGAUAUCAUUCGAAUGGUUAGAUAACACAACAGCUUUGUUUGAAACUAUUUUUACUUCCCUAAGGGUCACAUGUAUGGGUAAAGAAACAAGAGACAAAUAAUUUCCUUUUUUAUGAUGUAUACUUACAAGUGAUUUUUGUCCAAAGUUCAAUCGAGAGAGUAAAAGCGUCAGGAAGUUACUACUUGCCAAGAUUAAGAAAAAUUUAGAUACAAAACUUGGACAUUCCAUUCGUUUAGAAGCUUUGCCAGCUAACAAUGACAUUAUCCUAUGCAUUAAUGGUUAGUUUUGUAUUUAUUGAGCUAAAAUUUCUCAUACUCAUUUCAAAUCAUAUUACCUAAGGAGCAUUAAUCAUAUCUUUGAUGGUUAAUAUCAUUUUUUACGAAGUUUUUGCCUUUGUACCUCGUAUUCAUCUUAUAACUUUAGUUGGAGAGCCAAUAGAUCAUAAAUCCUUGUGAUUAUCAUAUUGAGCUACUCCCUAUAACUAAUUAAUGCAUUUCCGUAUUUCCUUUUACAAUUUGUAAUCUACUACUCUUUAACCUUCUACUUGUAGAAUAACCUUCGGAAUUUGUCAUCCCACUAAUCGGAAAAAACACGGGGAAGUGUCACGUUCUCAUUUAAAUACAACUGGCCCGGCUGAUCGAUCAGAGAACCAUUAUAAUUAAUAAUUCUGACAGCGACGAACUGACCAGUGGUUGAUACUCACAGAUAUUAAUUGAGGCCUGUUGAGAGGAAAACAAUUCAGAAGCUCCAAAGCUACAAGUAAACGAUAUCAAUCUUCUAUUUUGAUCAUGGGAGGUAGCCAAAAUAUGGUUUGGUAGAUGGCAAUUAACGUCAAAUUCGUCAGUCGAGAGCACCGGGGAGUCACAGAUAAUUUAAAGAUGCUUUGGUUCUUGAGAGGUUAAUAUUUUGUCCAACGAUCAACCCUGUUAGUAUCCUGAUCGACAAGCCUCGCAUUAUCUGUAAAGCUGCUCGGUCUCCGUUUGUGUCCUAAAC
RNAcentral lists this unclassified non-coding RNA (1863 nucleotides) under Pocillopora damicornis (cauliflower coral). Its description in RNAcentral is "dopamine receptor 1-like, transcript variant X3". The record is from RNAcentral. Lineage: Eukaryota; Metazoa; Cnidaria; Anthozoa; Scleractinia; Pocilloporidae.